Molecule: ribosomal RNA, 826 nt
Filed under: uncultured Comamonadaceae bacterium
Lineage: Bacteria; Pseudomonadati; Pseudomonadota; Betaproteobacteria; Burkholderiales; Comamonadaceae
Description: bacterial SSU rRNA
Rfam family: Bacterial small subunit ribosomal RNA
Source: RNAcentral
GCAAGUCGAACGGUAGAGGGGGCAACCCCUCGAGAGUGGCGAACGGCUUAGUAAUAUAUCGGAACGUGCCCAGUCGUGGGGGAUAACGUAGCGAAAGUUACGCUAAUACCGCAUACGAUCUAUGGAUGAAAGCGGGGGACUCGCAAGAGCCUCGCGCGAUUGGAGCGGCCGAUAUCAGAUUAGGUAGUUGGUGGGGUAAAGGCUCACCAAGCCAACGAUCUGUAGCUGGUCUGAGAGGACGACCAGCCACACUGGAACUGAGACACGGUCCAGACUCCUACGGGAGGCAGCAGUGGGGAAUUUUGGACAAUGGACGCAAGUCUGAUCCAGCCAUUCCGCGUGCAGGAUGAAGGCCCUCGGGUUGUAAACUGCUUUUGUACGGAACGAAAAGGUUUCUCUUAAUACGAGGAGCUCAUGACGGUACCGUAAGAAUAAGCACCGGCUAACUACGUGCCAGCAGCCGCGGUAAUACGUAGGGUGCAAGCGUUAAUCGGAAUUACUGGGCGUAAAGCGUGCGCAGGCGGUUAUGUAAGACAGAGGUGAAAUCCCCGGGCUCAACCUGGGAACUGCCUUUGUGACUGCAUAGCUAGAGUACGGUAGAGGGGGAUGGAAUUCCGCGUGUAGCAGUGAAAUGCGUAGAUAUGCGGAGGAACACCGAUGGCGAAGGCAAUCCCCUGGACCUGUACUGACGCUCAUGCACGAAAGCGUGGGGAGCAAACAGGAUUAGAUACCCUGGUAGUCCACGCCCUAAACGAUGUCAACUGGUUGUUGGGUCUUCACUGACUCAGUAACGAAGCUAACGCGUGAAGUUGACCGCCUGGGGAGU